GCGAAAGUGGCGGAACUGGUAGACGCGCUGGAUUUAGGAUCCAGUUCCUUCGGAGUGGGGGUUCGAGUCCCCCCUUUCGCA
This 81-nucleotide transfer RNA is filed under the name candidate division GN15 bacterium. RNAcentral describes it as "tRNA-Leu". It matches the Rfam family "tRNA". From Rfam's summary of the family: Transfer RNA (tRNA) molecules are approximately 80 nucleotides in length. Their secondary structure includes four short double-helical elements and three loops (D, anti-codon, and T loops). Further hydrogen bonds mediate the characteristic L-shaped molecular structure. tRNAs have two regions of fundamental functional importance: the anti-codon, which is responsible for specific mRNA codon recognition, and the 3' end, to which the tRNAs corresponding amino acid is attached (by aminoacyl-tRNA synthetases). tRNAs cope with the degeneracy of the genetic code in two manners: having more than one tRNA (with a specific anti-codon) for a particular amino acid; and 'wobble' base-pairing, i.e. permitting non-standard base-pairing at the 3rd anti-codon position. The record is from RNAcentral.